RNAcentral lists this ribosomal RNA (497 nucleotides) under uncultured bacterium. RNAcentral describes it as "partial 16S ribosomal RNA". It matches the Rfam family "Bacterial small subunit ribosomal RNA", at positions 28 to 507 of the family's 1533-position model. The record is from RNAcentral.
GAUGAACGCUGGCGGCGUGCCUAAUACAUGCAAGUCGAGCGAACGGACGAGAAGCUUGCUUCUCUGAUGUUAGCGGCGGAUGGGUGAGUAACACGUGGAUAACCUACCUAUAAGACUGGGGUAACUUCGGGAAACCGGAGCUAAUACCGGAUAAUAUUUUGAACCGCAUGGUUCAAAAGUGAAAGACGGUCUUGCUGUCACUUAUAGAUGGAUCCGCGCUGCAUUAGCUAGUUGGUAAGGUAACGGCUUACCAAGGCAACGAUGCAUAGCCGACCUGAGAGGGUGAUCGGCCACACUGGAACUGAGACACGGUCCAGACUCCUACGGGAGGCAGCAGUAGGGAAUCCUCCGCAAUGGGCGAAAGCCUGACGGAGCAACGCCGCGUGAGUGAUGAAGGUCUUCGGAUCGUAAAACUCUGUUAUUAGGGAAGAACAUAUGUGUAAGUAACUGUGCACAUCUUGACGGUACCUAAUCAGAAAGCCACGGCUAACUACGUG